UACGAAGGGGGCUAGCGUUGUUCGGAAUUACUGGGCGUAAAGCGCGCGCAGGCGGUUUUUCAAGUCAGGGGUGAAAGCCCGGAGCUCAACUCCGGAACUGCCAUUGAAACUGUAAAACUUGAGGACGAGAGAGGUGAGUGGAAUUCCCAGUGUAGAGGUGAAAUUCGUAGAUAUUGGGAAGAACACCGGUGGCGAAGGCGGCUCACUGGCUCGUAUCUGACGCUCAGGCGCGAAAGCGUGGGGAGCAAACAGG
Molecule: ribosomal RNA, 253 nt
Filed under: uncultured bacterium
Lineage: Bacteria
Description: partial 16S ribosomal RNA
Rfam family: Bacterial small subunit ribosomal RNA
Source: RNAcentral